Molecule: ribosomal RNA, 234 nt
Filed under: uncultured eukaryote
Lineage: Eukaryota
Description: partial 18S ribosomal RNA
Rfam family: Eukaryotic small subunit ribosomal RNA
Source: RNAcentral
GGAAAACUUACCAGGUCCGGACAUAGUGAGGAUUGACAGAUUGAAGAUCUUUCUUGAUUCUAUGGGUGGUGGUGCAUGGCCGUUUUUAGUUGGUGGAGUGAUUUGUCUGGUUAAUUCCGAUAACGAACGAGACCUCAGCCUGCUAAUUAGUCGGUGCUAUUGCUUUUGUGAUAGUGUCCGCUUACUUCUUAGAGGGACUAUGCGUGCGUAACGCAUGGAAGUGUGAGGCAAUAA